CUGAGCUACCAGGGAAACCCUGGAGAUACCCUUUGUUCUUAACCUGUAGGGUUAUUUACAGAUUCACAUAGGAUUAGCACAGAUUUCAGUCAGACAAUCUGGGCUUGACUGACUUUUGAUAUAAUUUGGAACAUGUUAAUUAACUUCCCUGAACCUAUGUUUCUUCACCUGUGAGAUGGAAAUCAUCAUAGAACCUCAUCAUGGGAAUCCAAUAGGGUGAUGCAUGUGGAACAUUAGCACAUAUCUAGCACAUAGUAAAUGUUCAAUAAAUGUUAGCUAUGAUGAUUUGUUGCUCAUUCUUAAGUACUUAAUGUUAAAAUAGGAGAGGACUUUUUCCUGCUUGGGUUCACACUUAAUAUCAGGGCCUUAUUCUAACAAAGCUGACUUGACGGUAAUUAGGUGGUUGAGGAAAGGCUUGCAACUCAUCCUCAACACUUGGCAUUGCCUUCCCCUCGAGGGAACGCUGGCAUCCUGCUCCCAUCAGAGCCUCGACAAUCGCACAGUCUACACACACUUGGACAUCAGCAUCACAAAUGGUCAUGUAAGUAAGCAGAGAAAACAGCUGCAGACUGUAGAAGCUCAGAUGUGUUUAGGUGAUGAAAUCUUCCCCAUAGGCCUUGUGAGGAAGCAUUUCAUCUUGAGUAUCAAGAGCUGACUUGGGUGUGGGGAUCUUCCCAAACCAGAGAUGGAACACACAUGUACUGCACUGGCAAAUGGAUUCUUUUCCACUGAGCCACCAGGAAAGCCCACUCAAAUAGUAUUCUUCCCUUUUUUUUUGCCAUAUCCAUGCUGUACUGCUACCAUUAUUUAAUAAUAGUUUUCUUUAGAUGUUUAAUUAUGUGAUAUUUAUUUUUGUUAACUUUAAUUAUUUGUUAUUUAUUUACUUUAAAAGAAAAUUUGUCUCUGGCUUCAGCAGAACAUUAAUAAAAUUAGGCAUAGUAAAGAGAAUGUUCCCAGAGAAAGGCAUGUAAUGUAAAACAAUAUUUUUUUAAAACAGAGAUUUCAGCUUCAUUUGUAAGAAUUUUUAGUUAAAACAAAAAAAUUUUAAAUUUCAUUCCUUCUCUCUAUUGGCAUUUCCUCUGUUACUGUGUUCUAUUUUCCCAUGGUAUCUAUCAUCUUUUAAUAUACUAUGUUAUUUGUUUGGGUUUUAAAAUUUUCAUCUGUUUCUCCCACUAGAAUGCUAGCUAUGAAAUUGCAGUGAUAUUUGUUAGUUUAUUUGUGAACAGCACCUGACCCAUAUUAUAUGCUCAAUAAAUAUUUGUUGAAUGAA
Molecule: long non-coding RNA, 1270 nt
Organism: Bubalus bubalis (water buffalo)
Lineage: Eukaryota; Metazoa; Chordata; Mammalia; Artiodactyla; Bovidae
Exons: 3
Source: RefSeq, a predicted model, not a curated record